This 428-nucleotide ribosomal RNA is filed under the name uncultured archaeon. RNAcentral's name for it is "bacterial SSU rRNA". It matches the Rfam family "Archaeal small subunit ribosomal RNA", at positions 474 to 903 of the family's 1478-position model. The record is from RNAcentral.
UACCUGCAGCUCGAGUGGUAACCGCUAUUAUUGGGCCUAAAGCGUCCGUAGCCGGUUUGGUAAAUAUCUGGGUAAAUCGUGAGGCUUAACUUCACGAAUUUCGGAUAGACUGCCAGACUUGGGAUCGGGGGAGGUCAGAGGUACUCCAGGGGUAGCGGUGAAGUGUUGUAAUCCUUGGAGGACCACCGGUAGCGAAGGCGUCUGACUAGAACGAGUCCGACGGUGAGGGACGAAGCCCUGGGGCGCAAACCGGAUUAGAUACCCGGGUAGUCCAGGGUGUAAACGAUGUGGGCUUUGUAUUGGAGGUCCCACGUGGGCGUCCAGUGCAGAAGAGAAGUUGUUAAGCCCACCGCCUGGGAAGUACGGUCGCAAGGCUGAAACUUAAGGAAUUGGCGGGGGAGCACAGCAACGGGAGGAGCGUGCGGUUU